This 207-nucleotide ribosomal RNA is filed under the name uncultured bacterium. RNAcentral's name for it is "partial 16S ribosomal RNA". It matches the Rfam family "Bacterial small subunit ribosomal RNA", at positions 1286 to 1500 of the family's 1533-position model. The record is from RNAcentral.
UCUCAGUUCGGAUCGGAGUCUGNAACCCGACUCCGUGAAGCUGGAUUCGCUAGUAAUCGCGCAUCAGCCAUGGCGCGGUGAAUACGUUCCCGGGCCUUGUACACACCGCCCGUCAAGCCAUGGAAGCCGGGAGUGCCUGAAGUAUGCAACCGCAAGGAGCGUCCUAAGGUAAAACCGGUGACUGGGGCUAAGUCGUAACAAGGUAGC